RNAcentral lists this ribosomal RNA (253 nucleotides) under uncultured bacterium. RNAcentral describes it as "partial 16S ribosomal RNA". It matches the Rfam family "Bacterial small subunit ribosomal RNA", at positions 524 to 776 of the family's 1533-position model. The record is from RNAcentral.
UACCGAGGUGGCAAGCGUUGUUCGGAAUUAUUGGGCGUAAAGGGCGCGUAGGCGGCCAACUAAGUCGGACGUGAAAUCCCCGGGCUCAACCCGGGAACUGCGUCCGAUACUGGAUGGCUUGAAUCCGGGAGAGGGAUGUGGAAUUCCAGGUGUAGCGGUGAAAUGCGUAGAUAUCUGGAGGAACACCGGUGGCGAAGGCGGCAUCCUGGACCGGUAUUGACGCUGAGGCGCGAAAGCCAGGGGAGCAAACGGG